AAAUCCUGUAAUCCUGGACGGACCGCCGGUAGCGAAAGCGUCUCUGGAGAACGGGACCCGACGGUGAGGAACGAAAGCUUGGGUCUCGAACCGGAUUAGAUACCCGGGUAGUCCAAGCCGUAAACGAUGCUCGCUAGGUGUGGCGUUGGCUACGAGCCAGCGCUGUGCCGUAGGGAAGCCGAGAAGCGAGCCGCCUGGGAAGUACGUCCGCAAGGAUGAAACUUAAAGGAAUUGGCGGGGGAGCACUACAACCGGAGGAGCCUGCGGUUUAAUUGGACUCAACGCCGGACAUCUCACCGGCACCGACAGUGUGCAGUGACAGUCAGUCUGAUGGGCUUACUUGAGCCACUGAGAGGAGGUGCAUGGCCGCCGUCAGCUCGUACCGUGAGGCGUCCUGUUAAGUCAGGCAACGAGCGAGACCCGCGUCCCUAAUUGCCAGCAGCAGCCUUGUGCUGGCUGGGUACAUUAGGGAGACUGCCGUCGCUAAGACGGAGGAAGGAACGGGCAACGGUAGGUCAGUAUGCCCCGAAUGUGCCGGGCGGCACGCGGGCUACAAUGGCCGGGACAGUGGGAUGCUACCCCGAGAGGGGACGCUAAUCUCCUAACCUCGGUCGUAGUUCGGAUUGCGGGUUGAAACCCACCCGCAUGAAGCUGGAUUCGGUAGUAAUCGCGUCUCAGAAG
Molecule: ribosomal RNA, 681 nt
Filed under: uncultured archaeon
Lineage: Archaea
Description: bacterial SSU rRNA
Rfam family: Archaeal small subunit ribosomal RNA
Source: RNAcentral